UACGAAGGGGGCUAGCGUUGUUCGGAAUUACUGGGCGUAAAGGGCGCGUAGGCGGUGCAUCAAGUCAGGCGUGAAAGCCCCGGGCUCAACCUGGGAACCGCGCUUGAGACUGGUGCGCUCGAGUUCGGGAGAGGAUGGUGGAAUUCCCAGUGUAGAGGUGAAAUUCGUAGAUAUUGGGAAGAACACCGAUGGCGAAGGCAGCCAUCUGGACAGACACUGACGCUGAGGCGCGAAAGCGUGGGGAGCAAACAGG
RNAcentral lists this ribosomal RNA (253 nucleotides) under uncultured bacterium. RNAcentral's name for it is "partial 16S ribosomal RNA". It matches the Rfam family "Bacterial small subunit ribosomal RNA", at positions 524 to 776 of the family's 1533-position model. The record is from RNAcentral.